Non-coding RNA from Acanthosepion pharaonis, 103 nucleotides. NCBI's taxonomy places the organism in Eukaryota, Metazoa, Mollusca, Cephalopoda, Sepiida, Sepiidae. The record is from the annotation of a GenBank genome assembly.
AUCACAUUGAAACAACGGCUCUCUUACGAUCGCCAAAGUUAAGCAACGUCGAACCUGGUCAGUACUUAGAUGGGUGACCACUUAGAAGUACCAGGUGCUGUAA